Humulus lupulus (European hop) is the source of this 815-nucleotide long non-coding RNA. RefSeq lists it as uncharacterized. Lineage: Eukaryota; Viridiplantae; Streptophyta; Magnoliopsida; Rosales; Cannabaceae. The transcript has 4 exons. The record is from RefSeq and is a predicted model, not a curated record.
GUUCCUCUCCCUUUCUCUCUCUCAUAGUUUCCUUCUUGAAGAGGUUUUGAGAACCAAGGCUUUAGACCCCAAUCUGGUUGUGGUGGGAUUCAAGAGAGUUAGAGUACUGAUGAAGAAAGCUAGCAACAACAAGAAGGGCAUCUUCAACCAAGGAUUUCGUUUUUAGAAGGGAUUACUGCAAGGCUUGGGGGAAAAGGAUCGUGCUCGGGAUCGUAUUACUGCUUGCACAGGACUCGAGGGGUCAGAUUCGGCGAUAAUCACGCGUAGUGUAGGCAGUGAUGGCUUGACCAUUAUAGGGUUGCGGUAAGGGCAAGGCUGAGCUGGAUCAUCGAUGAGUUGGAGAGCUCUGGGGCGGCACAUACAUACUUAGUCUACUCGACCGCCACAGUCGAGAUUAUUUUUUAGGGAUUGGGGUUAGAGUUUAGCUUCUGCCGCUUAGGUCAGCUAUUUCCGUAAUUCUGAAAAUGAUGUAUUUUGGUUUUAACUCUUUUGGGAUCCCUAUAAUAUUUAAACUCGUUAAUGAAAAUUUUUAACUCUUUUGACCAAAAUUUUUAAUACCUAAAUUGUUAUUUAUCUAUAAUUUCAUGUGUUAAAGUCCAAAUGACUCUCGUUUAAUGAGUUAAGCACUAUUUUUAAACAUAUAGUUUAAUGGUCCUGAAUUAGAAGGACAUUACAAAUUGUAACCCACAUUUUUAUUGUUGUUUUAGUACGGGGGAAUGUUUUGUGAUUUUAGAUAGUUUUGCUUUUGGUAUUUUGAUUUGAGAUGUAAUUAAUUUUGAAUUAUAAUUUUAAAUUGUUUUGGUUUUGGAUUCUGA